Molecule: non-coding RNA, 69 nt
Organism: Salmo salar (Atlantic salmon)
Lineage: Eukaryota; Metazoa; Chordata; Actinopteri; Salmoniformes; Salmonidae
Source: Rfam
GGAUCCAUCUUACCUGACAGUGCUGGAUUGUACAACUGUGUUCUAACACUGUCUGGUAACGAUGUUUCC